Molecule: long non-coding RNA, 459 nt
Organism: Danaus plexippus (monarch butterfly)
Lineage: Eukaryota; Metazoa; Arthropoda; Insecta; Lepidoptera; Nymphalidae
Exons: 3
Source: RefSeq, a predicted model, not a curated record
UAAAUGUUGAAAUUCGUUUGUUUGUCAGUCUGAUUUUUUGCACUGAGACAGCUCUAUGGCAUCGACAUGACGCAGCUUCUUGUACUAUAAUUCCACACCGUGUGAAAGCUGUUAGCAGUUAACGGUGCAUACGUUCAGCGUAAUGUCGACAGUCAAUUUAUUAGGCAAAGAUAUCGGGAGUCCAUCGCCGUACAAAUCGAGUCUUGUAGACGAUCUAUUGUUACUUACCAUGAGAUGAAUUCACAAUUUUAAAGCGCACAAAAAUGUAAUUAAUGAGGCUUAAUUCUGCACAACAUAUUUGGCUUGUACACAACUGUGUUUUGUAUGAUUUUAAUCAACGUCAAAUAAGGAUGUUCUGUGCAUAAUAACAUAAGGUUUGCAUUAUGUAAGAUGUAUAUUUUAAAUAAACGUGUGCAUCCGACUUUUUUUUUUCGUUAUUAUUUUUAUAAAAUUCUAAAU